CCUACGGGAGGCAGCAGUGAGGAAUAUUGGUCAAUGGGCGCGAGCCUGAACCAGCCAAGUAGCGUGAAGGAUGACUGCCCUACGGGUUGUAAACUUCUUUUAUAAAGGAAUAAAGUGAGGCACGUGUGCCUUUUUGUAUGUACUUUAUGAAUAAGGAUCGGCUAACUCCGUGCCAGCAGCCGCGGUAAUACGGAGGAUCCGAGCGUUAUACGGAUUUAUUGGGUUUAAAGGGAGCGUAGAUGGGUUGUUAAGUCAGUUGUGAAAGUGUGCGGCUCAACCGUAAAAUUGCAAUUGAUACUGGCAGCCUUGAGUACAGGUGAGGUAGGCGGAAUUCAUGGUGUAGCGGUGAAAUGCUUAGAUAUCAUGAAGAACUCCGAUUGCGAAGGCAGCUGACCAAAGUGCAACUGACAUUGAGGCUCGAAAGUGUGGGUAUCAAACAGGAUUAGAUACCCGGGUAGUC
RNAcentral lists this ribosomal RNA (460 nucleotides) under uncultured bacterium. RNAcentral's name for it is "partial 16S ribosomal RNA". It matches the Rfam family "Bacterial small subunit ribosomal RNA", at positions 338 to 795 of the family's 1533-position model. The record is from RNAcentral.